This 468-nucleotide ribosomal RNA is filed under the name uncultured bacterium. RNAcentral's name for it is "partial 16S ribosomal RNA". It matches the Rfam family "Bacterial small subunit ribosomal RNA", at positions 28 to 507 of the family's 1533-position model. The record is from RNAcentral.
GACGAACGCUGGCGGCGUGCUUAACACAUGCAAGUCGAACGGAAAGGCCCUGCUUUUGUGGGGUGCUCGAUUGGCGAACGGGUGAGUAACACGCGAGUAACCUGCCCCUGACUUUGGGAUAACUUCAGGAAACUGGGGCUAAUACCGGAUAGGAGCUCUUGCUGCAUGGUGGGGGUUGGAAAGUUUCGGCGGUUGGGGAUGGACUCGCGGCUUAUGAGCUUGUUGGUGGGGUAGUUGCUGACGAAGGGUUUGACGGGUAGCCGGCCUGAGAGGGUGACCGGCCACAUUGGGACUGAGGGACGGCGCAGACGCGAACGGGAGGCAACAGUGGAGAGUAUUACGCAAUAGGCGGAAGCCUGAUACGGCGACGCCGGGUGCGGGAUAACGGCCUUCGGGUGAUAAACCGAUUUCGACUGUGACAAGGCGUGAGUGACGGUAAUGAGUAAAGAAGCACCGGCUAACUACGUG